This 407-nucleotide ribosomal RNA is filed under the name uncultured bacterium. RNAcentral describes it as "partial 16S ribosomal RNA". It matches the Rfam family "Bacterial small subunit ribosomal RNA", at positions 28 to 526 of the family's 1533-position model. The record is from RNAcentral.
GACGAACGCUGGCGGCGUGCCUAAUACAUGCAAGUAGAACGGAGUUGAGAACGGGUGAGUAACGCGUAGGUAACUGCCUGGUAGCGGGGGAUGACUAUUGGACACGAUAGCUAAUACCGCAUACUAACAGAUGGACCUGCGUUGUAUUAGCUAGUUGGUGGGGUAACGGCUUACCAAGGCGACGCUACAUAGCCGACCUGAGAGGGUGAUCGGCCACACUGGGACGGAGACACGGCCCAGACUCCUACGGGAGGCAGCAGUAGGGAAUCUGCGGCAAUGGACGGAAGUCUGACCGAGCAACGCCGCGUGAGUGAAGAAGGUUUUCGGAUCGUAAAGCUCUGUUGUAAGAGAAGCGGUAUCUUACCAGAAAGGGACGGCUAACUACGUGCCAGCAGCCGCGGUAAUAC